Molecule: long non-coding RNA, 38753 nt
Filed under: Musa acuminata (dwarf banana)
Lineage: Eukaryota; Viridiplantae; Streptophyta; Magnoliopsida; Zingiberales; Musaceae
Description: long non-coding RNA (MACU_LNC006030)
Source: RNAcentral
ACAAGUAUUAAUAAGUUUUUAUAAGAGGUAAAUAAUGAAGAGGGAGAUUCCAUACAUUUAAUAUGGGAGGUUAAUUAUUUAAAUGAAAGUAUAUCCAAUGCAAGAAGGGAAGGGGGAAAGCUACGCGCAAGAUACCCGUUAUCCACCACCACAGCGCUGUUCCGUCUCCAGCUGUUUCACAUACAUGCAUACAUACACCUUCGCCUUCCUCUCCUCCUCCUCCUCCUCCUCUCUAUAUAUACGCAAACGCCGCUCUUCACCGCAUCAUUCAUCCACACAUAGAGAGAGCCUCGUACUCCAGCCUUAUUUGUGGAAUCCUUCCAUCCGAUUUUGCUUUGUACUCCCGACAUAUGAGUCGUGAGUGAGGCAUAACAGGAGAGAGGCCUCGAUCGGAUCUAGUGAAUCAGGAGGGGAAAGAGAUGGAGCUGUACAUGGAGGAGAAGUGGAAGCUGUCCAAGAAGGGAAGCAGGAGCUGCAACGGGAGCAGAAGAGUGAUGGGAGCAGAGGGAGUUGGGCCCUUCUUGAAGGGUUCGGCGAGCACGAGGGAAGGGAGGAGAACGGCCGCACCGGGCUCCUUCUCCAGCCGCUUCGCCAGCCUGGUGAAGGAGCAACGAGCCAGGUUCUACAUCAUGCGCCGCUGCGUCACCAUGCUCAUCUGCUGGCGAGACUACCCCUGAGGUUUCCGCUCCUCCCAACCAACAACAAGGGAAGGAAAGGAAGAGGAGGUGGAAGGCUUAUAUAGAUAGAUCAGAGAGUAGAAGUUCUAUUUUUCUUUCUUCUUCUUCUUCUUCUUCUUCUUCUUCUUCUUCUUCUUCUGGAUGUACAAAUCGAUUACUUGGUUUGUGUUGUUAGAUACACCGGGUGAGGUUUUGGAUCUCCUGUAAAGGGGAUGAAGGGCUCAGACGCCCUGCUGUAAGCUACGAUGGUUCUUGUUGAUUAUUCCCUUACUGCAGCCGAACAAAUGGUUCUUUAAAGAUGGACUGUGUUCCCGCAGGGGGCGUCUUCUUUUUGGCUUCCAUUUGGAGAAGGAAUAUAUUCCCAGUGUCCUGCAACCCAUCUUCACCGCUGCUGCUUCGUCCUCUUUUGCUCUUUCCCAUGGUUUUUUAUUCAUUUCUCCUCUGCCGUGAAUUGAUUGAUGGAUGGAGAGAGAGAGAGAGAGACAGAGAGAGAGCUGUGAAUGAAUGAAUGAGGGGAGCGAUGGCAGCCACUGACAUGCUGAAUUAUUGCUUUACCCCUUUGUAUCCUUCGUCUACAAAACGGUGAAGGUGGUGGCGUCACGUUAGCGUAAAAAUGAGGGGGUAAAAAUUUAUGAGCAUACGAAGCUGCGAGGGUUGGAAUCGGGCAACGUGAGGAGGCGCUACUGGACCUGGCAAAGGGGCAGCGGCGUUGGCCGCUUCCCUCCGUCCAAAUCUGCCAUUAAACUGUUGUUGGAGUACCACUGUGUCAAACUUAUUACGAGGAAGAAGACAUUGAUGGAAGUGGCUUAGUAGUAUCUUUUCCACAGAAGACUGACCCAAAUUACCCCUUUUCUUCUUCCUUCACGCCAAAUCCAUAAAAAUUUCCUUGCAUCAUUUAUCUUCCGCAAUAUUCCAAUGAUUCAUUCGACGACCAGCUGGCCAGCAGCGACGCUGUUCCUCUCUACUUAAAGCCCUUUUGUCCUGCUCUCUUCUCCAUCAGUCCCCCUGCCAUCACAUGCUUUUCACGUGCGAGAUACCAGUGCAUCCAACGGGAAGCGAUGCUCCUCCCACGGUGGGCCGUACGGUUGCCACUUAGACCGCAGAAAUCCUCACAUGGUGCUCGAAUUCCGAGAAAAGUAAAAUUAUAUCGAUUAAUCACGUAAAUUAAACCUAUUAUUAGGGCCUCUCGAUUCAUAAUACUUCGUUAUCGAGGAAGACCUCAGAACAACGGGAAAGGAAACAGGGUUGGAGCUUCGAGAUCCAUGCUCGACAGGUCACACCCACCGAUGUCGCUGUGUCGAGAAACAUUUUGUGUGCUGCCAAUAGUGGUUUUGUCGACGCCAUCUACCUAAAUAUCGUAUGCGAUGGUGUAGAUUCAGAACACGAAAAAGGACUCGAUGACUGUGCACCUUUUGAAUUCGUGACAUGGUUAACCGGGGGUGGGUGUGUGUCGUGAUUCGUGCUGUGGUAUGGUAAUCCAUCAAGACCCUGGUGACAUUGGACCGUGACCGCGUCGGAUCGAACCGGGUCCGCAUUGGGCCCGAGACCAAGCCGAAAUAAUUAACCGGUGAGCUGUUUUGAUCCGAUGUGAGUCGGUCGUCGACAUGCCAUAUGGCUUUACGCAGUACGACAAGAUGCCAUCGCGAGCGACAGACAAAAAGUAGCGGAUCGUGAUCGGCCGAACAGGAGUUCGAUGAGAUUAGGCGGAUAAGGAAUCCCGAGUCCAUCCGAUUGGAGCACAUGUCCUCCACAGGUUUUAGAUGAGGGAGGUGAGUGGGUUGGGCGGGGCGGGUGGCGAGUCCGACGAUUCCAACCCGGACACCCGAUGGUGGGAGUGGGACAGACUGGACCGCACGUGGGGCGUGCGACACCCACCCACCCAUCAUUGCGAUUUGACCCCCGCGAACCGGGCCUCACCCGUCACCGCCGUCGGAUGCCGAUCGGACGGAUCCGUUCGCGUCCAGAUAUGGCCGGUCAACGGUCACGUCCGCCCGCGGCAGCCUUCGGCCCCGCCGCGGCGCCAUCCAUCGCCCUUGGUCGCAAGCAGCUUCACGUGGUGGCGGGCCCCGCGACACGUGGCUGUGAUGGGACGCGAGAGGUUCACGUGGGGCUGUGGGGGCCGUGGGCACUGUUCGUUGACGCAAGGUGCGGCGGGAUUCCCAUUCGAACGCGACCGUUGUCGUUAUGCCUUCUCUCACCGCCGUGGGUGUAUACGCGUACGUAUAAAUCGUAGGUGUGCCUUUUAGCUCAAAUGUCUUCACUAUACGUGUCAUAAUUUUUAUUAUUUGGCACGUCAUAAUUUCUGAGACUUAUGUUAUUAGACCCAUUAAAAUUGAUCCGAGUCAAGCGACUCUGAAACACUGAUUUGGGCCGAUUUGGGUCGCUAUUCUCUCGAAUUUUUACUGUAGUCUUGAUGAGUUCGAUUGAAUACUCCAAAAAGUUUUAUCUUCUGGCAAGGUUUAUGGUAUCAGUCAAUACAUCCAAUUUAUUUGAUGAGAAGCUAUUUAUAAUUAUCUUGAUCUCCAUCUUCUUGUAGUAUGUAUGUAUUGGAUGCUGAAAUCAUGCAUUUCUCAUUCAUCUUUGGUUGCUCGCAAACUAUAUAUCAUUCUUCCAAGUGAUUAGAUCCACAGCUUUUACUGGUCAUUUAUUCGGUAUCGACUAUGAUAUUUUAACAUCAUUAAUUUAUAUAAAUAAUAAUAUUUUUUAUUUAAUAAAAAAAUAAAAAAAAUAUUUAUAAAAAUAUUCUUCGGUAUUUAUUAAUCGAACAGGUCAUGCAAUCUCUAACAUUUUAAAUAUACUGUCUUUAUUCAUAUGAUUAUCUUCACACAUUCACUUCAACAUUCUAAUUUAAAAAAAUAUUAUAUAUUAUCUUAAUCAUCUAAUAUUAAGAUUUAUAAAGUGUCAUUUGACCAUGUAAAAAAUUUAGUGAUCACAUAAAACUUAUAACGUGUGAUGAUAGUAUGUAUAGUUCUAUUUAUAUAAAGACACGGGUGUUGGGCCUGUUAUAUUCGUCGAUGAAUCUUCCUCUUCCAUGGAUUCCUAUCCAUGACGCGGGCUCUUAUCUACCUCGAAAUUUGUGCUUAAGCAAUGAUUGAUUGAUCCUGAUCGUGCAGUAGCUUGUUUUCUCGUUCGGUUCACGAGAAUUGAAGCUGAAACAAUUUAAUGCAGCACUCAAAUUGUUGUUAUAUAUAUAUAUAUAUAUAUAUGGAUCUUUGGGCUGGGCUUCAGAAUCAGGCCCUAACGUAGACCCACGUAGCAACGUCCAUGGCACCGGCACACAGGUCAUUGAUGAAGCUCACAAGAGACCACAUGGGCGGCCGCAUUUGUGUUAGUUGCCGGUCACUGCACUAUCCCAUCACCGACUCGCUUCUUCCCACCUAUUAUUCGUCGCUCACGAUCGCGGGCUUCGUAGUCAAAUCGAGUUACCUCCAGCGGGAGCAAAGGCACGAUCGAUCACGAUGGCAAGGAAUAAGACCACGAGUCACGUCAGGAAUAAGACUCGAUUAUUAGCUGCCUCGACGUAGUACAUAUAUACAUGCCUCUACACAUGGACCCACUGCGCACGUAUUUACACUACCACAAGACGGAUCGUUAAUAGUGAUCACGGGCUCGCCACACCGAGUUGCCGACUCGCCUGGUCGCACCGCGCCGGCGCGAACCCGACCCGAGCGUUCUCCAGGUCGUACUCCACCCACACGUUCUGCUGGUGAUGGUGCCCGAUCACGUACGCCGACAGUGGCACCAAGUCCGAGUUCCCGAACGUGAAGCACCAUACCGCGUCCGCCCCUCGCACCUCGCCCGGCACCCGGUACAGCAGCGUCUCCCCCCCCACCGCCACCUCCGCGCCGCCUCGCAGCAGCAGCACCACCGCCGGCAGCCCCGGUGGGGGCUCCUCCCUUGCCGCUGGCACCCGGAAGCAGAGGUCGAACGCCCCCUGGAACACGAAGUCCGGCUCGCCCAGGGGCGCGAGCGCGCCCCUGGUCUGCCGCGAGAACUCCGCCUUGAGCGCGUCGUAGGCGGGGCCGAGGAGGAACGUGAACUGGCUGCCGGAGUCGACCAUGGUCUGCCCGGCGCCGGUGUGGUCCGGGACGAGCACGGACUUGGGGAUCGGGAGGAGGGCGUGGCCGACGCGGAUGCCCUCGAGCUGGACGGAGUAGGCGACCCGGUCGAAGUAGGGGAGGGGGAGGGUGAUUUGGAUCAAAGGGGUGUAAUUGAACGGCAGCGGGAAGGGGGGCUCCGCGUUGCCGAGGAGGAGCAGUCCGAAGGCGUCGUGAUCCGGAAUGCAGUAGGAGAAUCGGCGGAUGCCGCUCUGGGUCACGAAGGAGAGGGAUCCCCUGUUCAUCCCGAGCAGCCCGGCGGCGUCGGUGUCGCCGCCAGAGGAGGAAUAGGCGGAGGCCACGCAGGCGAAAACGGUGGGCAGUGAGGGCGAGCUGCCCACGAGGAAGGAGUCGGUGGCGAUGGCGCCGUCGGCGGUGGAGGCGUCAGCAUAGGAGAGGUAAACAUGGCAACGACCGCCGGGCGAGGAGGCGUCGCAGAUGGGCGGCAUGGGGAGGUCGCGGCCGCGGUCGCGACAAGUCGGGGAGUAGCAGGGGACAGGGUGGUAGGAUGACGACCUGUUGGGGUCGAAGGAGUGCGCAGCGGAAGAGUUGCAGAGGAGCCAGGAGAGCUCGCUUCCGGUGUCGAGCACCAUGGAAACGUUCUGCGGCGGCGUGCCGACGGCGAGUGGGACGGUGAGGCUGACAUUAUGGUGGAAGAGGAGCUUGUUGGAUGGCUUGCGGAGAGCCAAAGAUGGCACCUUUUGGACUCUUAGCGGCAGUACAAGAGACAAAGAUGAGCCCUUUGCACCACCCGUAGUACUCGAGGAACGGGAGGUGAAUGGCUGGAGAAGAAAAAGCAGCAGAAAUAGAAGAAAACACUGAGAGUUAGAAGCAGAGGAGAUCAUGCCGUCUGAUUUCUUCUGGUUUCUGCGACUCUCUGGAUUUGGAUGGAGAAGGAACUAUGAAGAGAAGCGUCGUGUUAGUGGAACUCGGAAUGCCGUAGAAUCGAAGGAACCAACAUUUAGAACAGUAGUGAUGGGUGCUGAUGGCAGAGGAGGGGGAGGCAAGAACUGGUUGUGAGAUAUCUGUGUAGUAUACGGUUAAGAAGCGUCUCUGUCCUGUCCUUCCCGUGCGCUGGGAGAUUAAGGAGACAGCUUUGAAAUGACAAUGAGAAAGAAGGUUGCAGAUUUCCAUCUGAUUUGACUUGAUUUUGAUGUUUGGUGACAAUGCGAUGAUUCAGAAAGGGACGUCGUCGUGUUAGGCAUCCAAAGUAGGUUUGCUGGUUCUGCAUCACUGCCACUUCGUCAAAGAAGAACACACCCUACAAGAAAAGCCGCAAUACUAAUGGUGUCUUUAUGGCUGUAGAACUACACACAAAGCAUGGCGACGGAUUCAAGUAAUGGGAACAUCAUGAUUCGUGCACAACCUUCUUUGACUCCCUGAAAGCUCGAAUGUCGAUCGUCAUCAUUGAUCCCUCGUAGAGAAGCAACGCAAGCUUCGUCACCAACUAGUGUGUUGCGGUCAUGUGGAACACCAGCAUUGUACGAAGCUUGACAGGAUCGCAAGGUGGCCAGUCCCACGCAGUGAUGUGGAAGGAAGGCGAUGGCAGAGCAGUUGAGGACCACAGCUUGGUGAUCCCAGCGAAAUCGACUCCAUAGAUGUGCUGUUGACAUCAUCCCAUGCUCUCGAGGCUUCAAAAAGUGGAGGGUUUUCCAAUCUAAUUAGAAGAAUUCUUUUAGCGUCUAAUCAUACUUUCCUUCACAUUAAUUAGUGUUAUUUUAGAUUUUGGUUAUCUCACAUUACAAGUGAAGGUGAGACACAGGUGAUCUUGCAAAACUAACCUGAGACAUAUUUGAUGAGGAUGCAUAUCUAAUGCUUGAGUUAUUGAAGUCACAUGAUCCAAGAAAUAGAUAUGUGAGUCAAUAUGAUACACCUGAAGGCUUUUUUUAUAAUUGAGUUUGAGCAACAAUUGAAAUAAAAUAAAUAUUUAAUAUGCUAAAUACUAGAUAAAAUCAUUAAUCAUUAUUCAAUCAUGAAAUUGUGCAUCGAAAGCUUUCGUGUCGAGAUGAAUGAAUCUCUAUAUUGGUACUAAAUAUAGACUACAGGUCGAAUUCACAAAACUAAAAGUGUUUAGUGAAACGUGAUAUAAUAUCCCUCAAAUUAUCCAUACAUCAAUCCCCCUUUAUCAGUUGCAGACGAAGAAGAAGACACCCCUUUAUCGAGGAAGAUUGUACAUGUAUUCAGCUGUCACUUUGGACUAUGGAGUUUGGUCCAUAAAUCAAAGAUGACGACCGCAGCAAAACGCCAACCCACAUACAUGCCAAAGUGACAACUGUUGCACUGCUCCACACGAUAAAACCGAGCACUAAUCGCUUGCCUUCGUUGAUUGCAUUGAAGGAUGAAACAAUGCUUCGAAGGCAGUGAGCUCAAAAGAUUGAAUAGCGAGCAGUAAACUCUCUUGCAGCGGAAAGCAACAGGCAAGUGAUUUCAGAGGCCAUGUGAUUGCAAUGCAGAUAGAACCACGCAACCAUUAAAACUUGCCGGUGACAGGACAAGCACUGUCUGCAGGCAUCAGCACACAUGCUUAAAGCAACCAAGCUUUUUUGGCUUCUGCUGGUGAAGUAGUGCCGAUUUAGCAAGUAAAUAGUAUCUGAGCUCAUCAACUGUUCUACUGAUGUCUUCUGCUGUGUCUCGAUCAUCUUUACAUGGAUAAAAGUCAAAUUUCCAAGAUGAUGAGGAUCUUCAGAAACCUUUUGUGUGUGAUGACAAAUCAUGUGGAAAAUGAGGGGUUAAGUAUAGCAUCUACUGAGCCUCAUGACACUCCUUGGGUAAAAUUUUCUUUUAUCCCCUCAAACAUCAUUAAUUGCCUCUUCUGUCAACCAUGCUUGAUGAGUACUGUUGCACCAAACAGGUGGUCUAAAUUCUGUUCAGGAAUACCAGGGAAAGAAAACAGAGUAUUAUGAUGCACAGUGCUAUAAGAACCAAAAGAGGGGAGGCAUUCUGCAGAGCUCACAUAUUCUUGAUAGCAGUUGGUGCUCAGGUUCUACAAUCACCUGUCAGCAUAUCAGAAUCUGAUACAUUGAUUUAAGCCAUCAUGUUGAAUAGAAAAUCCAGCAGUCUUUGCAAGACAAAGUCAUGGGUCUAACAUGGAGUGCAAGAACAGACAUCAUAGGAAUCUCUCCUUCUGAAUCUCUGUGAAUGUGCAGCUGGACUUGAUAGCUUAAUAUAUGUGUGUUGUACUAUCCUGGAGCUUAAUAUAAAAUUCAUGCUAAACCCACUUAAAUGAUUUGGUACUAUGGUGCCAUGCUUGACUCACCUAAGCUGUUUGCAUUAUUGUCUUAGAACAAGUUUUUUGCAAGCAGCAACUCCAUGAGUCAUUCUAUCCUACUGCAGAACUGUUUCAGUUGCUGUUUGAAAUCAGUACUGCUUUCCUGGGUUAGGCAAACUUAUCAGCUGUNNNNNNNNNNNNNNNNNNNNNNNNNNNNNNNNNNNNNNNNNNNNNNNNNNNNNNNNNNNNNNNNNNNNNNNNNNNNNNNNNNNNNNNNNNNNNNNNNNNNNNNNNNNNNNNNNNNNNNNNNNNNNNNNNNNNNNNNNNNNNNNNNNNNNNNNNNNNNNNNNNNNNNNNNNNNNNNNNNNNNNNNNNNNNNNNNNNNNNNNNNNNNNNNNNNNNNNNNNNNNNNNNNNNNNNNNNNNNNNNNNNNNNNNNNNNNNNNNNNNNNNNNNNNNNNNNNNNNNNNNNNNNNNNNNNNNNNNNNNNNNNNNNNNNNNNNNNNNNNNNNNNNNNNNNNNNNNNNNNNNNNNNNNNNNNNNNNNNNNNNNNNNNNNNNNNNNNNNNNNNNNNNNNNNNNNNNNNNNNNNNNNNNNNNNNNNNNNNNNNNNNNNNNNNNNNNNNNNNNNNNNNNNNNNNNNNNNNNNNNNNNNNNNNNNNNNNNNNNNNNNNNNNNNNNNNNNNNNNNNNNNNNNNNNNNNNNNNNNNNNNNNNNNNNNNNNNNNNNNNNNNNNNNNNNNNNNNNNNNNNNNNNNNNNNNNNNNNNNNNNNNNNNNNNNNNNNNNNNNNNNNNNNNNNNNNNNNNNNNNNNNNNNNNNNNNNNNNNNNNNNNNNNNNNNNNNNNNNNNNNNNNNNNNNNNNNNNNNNNNNNNNNNNNNNNNNNNNNNNNUCCAUUAUCUAAGUUAGAUUUACUAGAUUGUAGCACUAACCUGCCAUUGUAGACAUCGCCAAGACAAGGGAUGAAGACAACAUAAAUUAUAUCUGCUAAUAGGCAUCUUUGUCUUCCUGGUAUUGUGGUGCUUGCUGCAGUAGAGACAAAUGAUCAGCUUUGUCUAGCAAGAUACCAUGUCCUCCCUUUCUUGUCUAUUUGUCCUGCACCUAGUUUCCCAUGCCCAUGGCAAGCAGGGCAAACUUUUGUCACAGAUCUUUUCUGGCUCCGUUUGCCUCGCUCGGUGCUGCUCCUGCUGGCCUCCAUCAUAUUUAGUAUUGAUCACCACGCAAGAUUCCUUCAACAAAUCAUUUGAGAAGACAAAGCAGGUUGCAUGGAGAGGUUGAAAACAAUAUCCUGAUGCAGCCAGCUGCAUUGAUCUCCAACCCAGUGCACAGCAGCAAUCAGAGACUUGGUCAGAGGAACGCAUUUGAUACGAACAAGUUCAAUGCAAUCCGAGUAGUCAUGCUGGAUCGCAUUUUUUGAGAUUUCAGUCUCCAACAACCUAACUCUUUUGGAGCUGAGCUGCCACCCACCUUGAUGGCACCUAAAACGUGUCCCCAUGUCUCAGUCAGUGACUCAGUGUCCUUUGAAUGAUGCACUAUGGUAAGUGGGGACAACAUGGUUAUGGCAGCUUCAGCAAGUAUGUAACGUAGUAAAUGGGGAAAAGAUGAUGCUACUCCUUAAAUCCCUGUUGGAUGUCCACACUACACAGUGGUCAAAUGGACUUAAGUGUUGUUUGGACUUUGAAUGGGUUUGAUGAGAGCCAAACCAUCAGAUCCUUACAAUUCCACAAUCUGAAAGGCAAUGCCAUGUAGUGAGCAAGAGUCAGAAAUGCAUACAAAGACUAUGAAGUCAAAAAGUUGGUCUUUUAGGUUCAACUCAGUAACCUGUAAUCGCUAAUCUUCGGCUUGGGUCAACCAUUUUUGCUGAUCAGAAGAAAUGUUGUGAGUUCGGCUUGGGUCAUUACAUCAUCACUGCAUCAGAGACAAGACAACAAGGCAUUAGAAAAGAUUACAUGUUGUAACUGCAUGCAAAGAAUUAAAACCAACAUCAGCAAGUAAAACUAAGGUGGUGUAAUAAAAGAUGCAUUGAAUACUUUGACCAGGUUGAACAAAAGCUACCCAUAAGAUAUAUAGUAUCAAGUCAACUAAAGAAUGAAGAAACCCCUGAGACAUGGUCCACUGAACAUAGGCACUUCUGGUGAAAGGUGGAACAGAGAAUCAUAUCUUGCCUUGCCUUGUAUUUAUGGGCAUUCCAUGGAAUCUCUGACAAACUUGUUCAAAUAUAAGUUCACCUGUACAACAAAUUAAAAAAAAAGGAUCAUACAAUGUACCAUGCCACAGAAAGGACUAAAUCCAUAUGUCGCAUUCAUCUAAGAUUACAUCUUGACCAUGUGAAGAGAGAGAGAGAGAGAGAGAGAGAGAGAGAGAGAGAUUUGUUGUGUCUGCUUGUGAUUUUUUACUAUUGCAGCUGUCCUUCCCAAUGCCAUUAGCAUGUUAUCACUGUUUAAUCAGUUUUGCUUCAUUGUUAACAAGGAUUUUCCUACUUACUAGAGCCUUUUCAACACUGAUUAUAUUCACAAUGCACUGUGAGCAAAGCUACAACUUCUCAGUUCCUGAGCCAAUCAUCCAAAGUGAUGAUUCUAGGGAGGAAUAUCUUGGCAUCAAGCUUUUGUUUACCUGAAAAUUCAUGGAAGACUGUUCAUAAAGACAGCAUGCUACAGAACAUAAUGUAUGAAAGUAUUUAGUAUUCCAUCACCAUCUUAGUAGUUCAGUAGAUCUGAUUUCAUAAUUACUUUGAAGAACUAUAUUAUAGCCUGUCUCAUGCAUCAUGAACGGGAAUCAACCCAUAACAAGAAGACUACUCAAGCAUUUAAUUUUGAGAUCAAGUAAAAACUUGUCUGCUUACAGUCUCACAAAAAGGAUUCCAAUUUAAAAAAAAUUGUUUUACAAUUUCUAUGGUUCCGUUAGAAAAACGAUACAUCAUAACAGCUAAGAAUGAUAUAGACGGAACGAAAAAAGAAGCCUAUCACUCUAAAAUAUAAGACUAGUUCUAAAGCAGCUAAAAAUCCAAUUGUAAUUCCUGAUUUAAAGUUAACAGGCAACUACAUUUCAGUCAACAUACACAAAUGCUCACUAACAUAGCUGGAAGAGAGAGAUGAAUUUUGAACAGAAAAGAACCAACAAAUCCCCUCCUCAAUGAUCAACGAGAAGACAAAUAACAAACAAACAGAUUGAGGAAAGCCAACCACCAGAUAUCUGCCUGUGCAAUCGGAUAGAAAGAUUGCAACAAUAGCUUUAAAAAAGUCCAACCAAAAAGAAAAAGAAUCAUAAAUUCUUCAUGAAGACUUAUACUAGUACAGGUCAACCACCCAUGAGAACAUAAAAUACUGCUCAAAACUAUACUGAUGCUAAUGAUAUGGCAAAUGAAAGGCUAUAAUGUAUAAACAUGCACUUGUAAAUCUCUUCAUGAAUUGUAAAACUAAGAACUUCACAAACAAAAGAAGUUAGAUACACCUUAUACAUGAUAUUAAACUAAUGAGUGGAAAUAAUUCAAACUUUUCUAUUGAAGAUUGAACAACAGCAUAAAUAAUGAAUGUUUAAUUCCAAAAUAACCACACUUCAAGAGGCCAUAAACCUUUGUAAUAUCAGAAAGCUAGACUACAGAAUAAAAGCCACUUACAUGUGGACAAAAGAGCAGAACCGAUUAGGAAAUCUGAAAGGAUAUAGAAAUCAAAAGAUGAUACAUUUUUUUUUAAUCUUCACUAGUCACUGUGGAAUUAUAUCCAGAAAAUUACCAGCCAGCAACCAUUUGCAUCCUUUUUGCAGAAUCAAGUAACUACAGUUUUGCAGAGGAAUUGGAUUGAAGAGCAAAAAGUUGAACUUUUCUACUCAGUUAUCAUCAUCACCAUCCUCCAAUACCCUACUUGUGCUCUGUCCCCGAUAGCUCCUACUGAAGAAUGGAUAUCUCCUGUGUCUAAGAGAAGUGGUUGAGAAAGAGCGAGACUCGGAGGUCAGCCUCAGUGAAGAUGUAGGAGGAGAUCGAAGACGCCUGAAGAAGGAGAAGAAAUUGCGGAAUGCCCGAACAAUUCUUCCACUCUCUCUGGAUCUAUUUCCUCUUGAGGACCACGAUAUCCUUCUCGGUGUGCCAGCGGUCCUAAUUCCUUCAUCCAUCUCUGUGUAAACCAUAGGAAGCUCUCUUUCCGUGCCUCUCCUGCCACCAGUGAACCUCCCAACAGCGAACCCACCACCUGGAAGCCUCCAUAUGGUGAGCCCCACCGUCUCCUCCUCGUUCUCAGCCACAUGAGUCCGCUCGUCGUCCUCCAUUUCUUGCACAUCCGUCGGCAUCUCAUGGCGACAAAGAGGGCAGGAAUUUCUUAGCGAGAGCCAAGGCAGGAUGCAAUCCUGGUGGUAGAUGUGUUUGCAGGGCAUCUCACGGACCUCAGUUCCGAGCUCGAAGGGGUCCUUGCAGACGGCACAAUGGGACUCCGUCGUGAUAUGGCCAUCGGCGAUCUCGAUAGUGGGCAUAGACUCGAUGGCGACCUUCGAAGCCGGCGAGUACUCGAAACCAGGCGCACCGCCGAUUCCGUCAACCUCAGUCUGGGAGAGCUGGUCGAGUAUUCUCUCCAAUCCCGAGCCCAUCAAGAACUCCGACAUGCUUUCCGGCAAGGGGCGGAGACCGGAUCGGGUGCCGUCAUCGUAGUAGAGCUCGAAGCUGCUGUUGGUGGUCCAAUCCGCAUCGCGUCGUCCGCCUACGGGAGGACUGCGAAGAACAAUGACGGGGUUGAAGGGAGAGCGGUCGCCAGUGGACGCACGAUUGUUACGGCGGAACCUAAUUUCCGAGGACUGGCGCCGACGGCCGACGGCCGCGGAGCUGUUGUCGACGGCGGAAGGGACGCGGCGGCGACGAGGCUCGGUAGCGGUCUCGGAGGCAAGAGGAAAGCGGCCAGGCGCGUCAAGGAAGCCACCGCCACAGUCUGGGCAGAUGACUGCGUCCCAGGGCCAAAUGAGGACGAAGCGACAGCAGUGGUGGCACCAGUACGUCGAUGCCGUCUCCAUGGAAGCCAUCAACGACCAAACGAAGAUGGCGAUGGCGUAGGCGGCGGCGCCGACGACGAGGAAGCACCGGAGGAAGAGAGGAGUUCCCUUAAAAAGAUGCAACCAUUGAAGUUUGAUCCCAAAGUCGAACCGAUCUUGGAUGGAAGCCCUAAAAAUCCGAGUUUCCGAGAGAUACAGCACCCACACCGAUCAAACCAUUCAAGAAAUCGCUUCGAUCCAAUCUCCAACUUGAAAUCCCAAACUAUUCCUAACCAAAUAGAGGGGGAAGAAACCCGAAUGUUUUGAGGAGAAUCGAGAAUCCCUUGCUUAAUUUGCAGUCAUAUCCCGCAAGGAUUCGGGGAUUUGGGAGGAUAGAGAAGGAGGGGGGAGGGAGGGAGGUUUUAAGCGCUCGACGAAGCUUCAAUGGCGGAAGCUCGUGCGCGCGGUGGCGUGCUUUGGACGGUCCGUCCGCGUACACACCCGGAGACGCCGUUAUUACGAUGUCAUUCCUGAAGCGAGUUCGCUUGGGUUAUGGUACCCCGACGGCGUUAGUCAACGUAAGGCAGAGCGGGAAGCGGACCACGUGGGGUCAGAGAAGGCGACCCGGGUCGGGCCGAGUCGGCGGGGGGCAUGGUGCAACGACUCGGUCCGGUGUCCGACUACUUUUGCAGCCCGAGUCCAAUUACUAAAAUACCCCUGAUAUAGAUUGGACAACCUGUGGUCCACUAACCCGGGUUUAGUGCCACUUGUACAAUUUCAAGUACAAUUAUUGGAGCGAUAAAAGAAAGAAAUAAAAAAAAAGCCAAAGUGUUUCUAUGUAUAUUUAUACGUAAGGGAAGAAAAGCCAAAGUUUUCUUCUUGGUGGAGAAAAGAUGAGGAAGGGGAUAAUGCCCGUCCUUAGGAAGACAUCCAUGACGUUUGUCAAUGGUUUAGGUUGAUGAAUGGCCUGUGGGACUCAAUUGGUGCAACUCACUCAGCCGCCCUGAGUUGGUCAAUGAUUGGUCAACUUAACAAGAUAUGCGAGUGUUAUGUGGAUCUACGACACGCUCCAAACGAAUGUGACACGAACUAUAAUUUUGGGUCGGGUUGGGGUUAUUGAGCCGUGGUUGCAAGAAGGACCGGCCCACGUCCUCGCCCCAUCUUUUUUACCUCUUCUUGCUAUUUCAAGGAGCAUCAUGGUGAUCUCAUCAAAUCCUGCUUGCAGCAUCAACACCUUGGGAACAUCUUGCGAUGCAUUGUAGAGAUCUGCGUCCAAAUCCUUCGUAGUUUAGGGCGUUUGCCAGUCAUGACGAAACCAAGAUCAUGCACAAAAGAGAUCCAAGAACUUGAGAAACACACAAAUAGAAACUACGAGUAGAGAUAAAUCCACGGAUUUAUGGGUUGUUUAUCCAAGCGGUGCCAACAUGGCACCAAUCAUUUCCCAAGAGACAAAUUUAGCUUCUUUCAAAGUUAUUUCCCAGAUCAACUUGGCUUCUAAAUCUAUUUCCGAAACUGGACACUAGAAAAUAUAAUGAAUCCUUUGUUGCAUAAAGAAAAUCAAAUAAGAAACAGUUCGGUUCUGCUGUUCAUUUAGUUCAAAGAUCUAUAAAGGCAUAAAACACAAAUUUAAACAGCACACUAUAACUUGCAUGUUGAACGUAAUAUCUUGUAAAUAUAGAAAUGAUGAUGGAAAAACCUGGUUAAAUUUUUUUUACUGAAGCCUGUAAAAUUCCCCUCAAAAUCUCUCACCGAACCUAAAGAAUACUGCACCAGUACCAGAAUUGUGAUCCAUGGCGUACUCAGCCCUCACCAUCCCAAGCUUCACACCAGCACCAUAGGAGGAGCCAUGCCCAGCUCGGCGGAAAAAUUCAGUCGGGUUUCCCUUUACAUCCUUCGAACUGCCAAGGUCAUUUCCAUGCUCCGCAAACAAAUAUACAUGGGUGUUCUUCACGGGGAUUCGCAGCUCAGUGGCAAGCUACAGUAUAACAAAAGUCAUGAUUUUGAAUUAUAUUGGAUAGCAUAAUCAAACAAAGAUCAGUUUCUUCAGAAUAUAACACCCAAGAAAAAUGGAACUAUGGAUAAACAACAAGCCAGUGUGUCCUGCUCACCUCGAUAAUGUUCCUGCAGGCACCCAAUUCUCCCAUGUUGUAGCCUCUCACCGAGUAGGGACCUCCAAGAGUGAAAGCAUCAUAGCUUGGGAGGUCUCCAACACAACCACCAUAGUGUCCAUGAAGAACCAGAACAGGUGGUGGCGAUUUACCUAUGCCUUCUUCAACGUUCUUCAAUGGAAUGAACCGGGUUAAUGUGAGCUGGUGGCGGUUGAAGAAUGGAAAGUUGCUGCCGAUUCCAAGACCUUGGUCCAGCUACCAUCAAAAUUCAAUAUGAUCAUUAGAUGAGCAUGUCAUCAUGUCUAGAUGUUCUACUCCAUGUCACUCAGAAAUUUUAUACGAAUGGAGAUGUCAAAUAUCACCGACCAAUGGCAAAAGGGAAAAGAAUGAAUGGUCAAUAGAAAAGUUUUUGACUCAAGAAAAUGAAAACUAUGAUGUCUCCAUAUUCCUUGGAGUUGUGCAUACUCAAGUACAUGAACUAAUACAUAUCCAUAGCUCAAAAACAUACAGGGCAAAUGAGAACUACAUAAUCAGACAUGCAUCAAUUAGUUGUCCAUGUAUAAAAUGUCUAGGAUAACCUGGAUUAGCUGUGACUUACAAGCGCACUACCAUCCAAUCAGUUACGAACAAAUUACUUUAAAAAAAAUCUGGAGGAGAUGGUGAGGUUGAGGGAAAUGAAUCUUUAUGAAUUACGUAGCCAUAUACCAUAUAUGCUAAAUGGUCCAAAUAUUCAACUCUAAAUAAGAAAUUAUCAACAAGCCACCAAUGGAUUACUUUUUAUGUCUACAAUAAUGUUAAAAAUGUAAAUCUACCAUCAUAUCGACACCUUUGAUUACAGAUGCAUGCAAAAAACCUUUAGUUGACAGCAAGACUAGAUACCUGGAAGACAUCUCUCUCACCAACGGUUGCUCCAUUCAGAAACUUUGUGUUGUCACGUGUAAUAUUCGCCUGUGCAAAUGCCAUGCGAUCAAUGCCAGUACCGCUGAGGGUUGUUGGAGGCCCAUCCAUGCUUAAACCACCACUAGGUAACACUCGAGCACCAUGGGUACAAAUGCUAGUAGUUUCAUCACGGGUUGUGAUCUCUUCCAUCACAAGCCCAUAAGUAAAUUUGCUUUGUCGGGUGAAGCUCUGAAAUGUUAACAGUGAGUACUACAGCAGUGAAGAAAUGGAUCAUGGAAAUAAAAUGAAUGGCUAUGUCAACAAUGAUACCUCGGUUAUAUUGGCUUUAAAGCCCACUCUAUCAAUCCAUACAGGUGGAACUUCAUCUACACCUGGACCACCAGUGAAGACAGGACUUAACUUCCGGCUGUUAAAGCAGCUGGUGCGGAAGGUUCGGUUGCGAGGGUUGGUCACACCAUCUAGAUAAGGGUGCACAUAUUCAAGCUUGAAAGACAAAUCAUCCUGAACAAGAGUGAGAAAAUUACAUAAUAAGUCAAACUAACACAAUAAAUCACUGAAAGCUCACAAAUAUCGCACGAGCAUAUGAAGGUUUGUGUUUAUCUCCUAAUUCUCUACUCACAUUUCCAACAAUAACUAAAUUGAGAUUAAGGAAAAAUGAAUGGAAGAAUUGCUUUUUUCAAACCAGUUCGAUGUCAGAAGAAAGCAAACAACCACUGGACACACCAACAGACAAAAAUUUCUGACAUGGGCUAAAUAACUUUUAAAUCAUUAUAAUCCACAGAGGAAAUUGAAAGUCCUUACUCCUGAAAAUAAGAAUAACUCCACCAGAAAAUUGAAAAUCCUGACUCUUGACUACAAUAUAAAUAUUAUUGCCAUCGGUGAACCCUUUAGGGCAACCAUGAACAAGCUCCCACUAUUGCCAAUGUUCAGUUUUACCCCUACAUGCAUGAGGAUGUUUACAGUGAUCUCAGUGCAACCUCAAGUUUUUUGAUCAAUUUCAGCACUUUAACAAAACAAAUUUAAUCAAAUCCAACAAUUUGUAAUUCUACAACAAGGAAAUCAAGAUUUACACACCUGAGGAUUGAGAAGAUUGCUCGAUGUAACCGAACCAACAAUUGAUCUGUUCAAACCAUUUAUGUUGCGAUGUUCAAAUGAAACAGUUCCACCAGGUUGAACUGAAGCCUAACAACAAUAAUGCACACAAUGUGAGGAAUCGAUCUCUUUGAAGAAGCAUAAGACAGUUUACAUCUGAAUACCAGCCCAUUCUUACAAACUGAAAGUCAUGUCAGCAUGGACAGAAUUACCAGUGUUGGUCGUCCAUCACGUCCAGGUACGAUACUCCAUUCGGUGCUUACUUCAGCUGUCUUUUGAUCCAUUUCUCUGAGUUUGAUUUCAACUAUUAUGCCUCCUUCAUUCUUUUCAUCUGGUCGUGGGUUCACCUCUAUAUUGGAGAAUAAAGCAAGCGAGUUUAUGUUCCUCAAAGCUUGCUUUCCUGCUUCUAUGUUAAAGACAUGCCCUGGUCGAAGCUGCACAAGAUCAAACAUAUUAUAAUAUAUUUAUAAUAGUACAAAAACAAUAUUCCAAAAAUAAUACAAUGGGUAAGAAAUAAGAAUAGCAAAGUCAAAUCCUCUUAAGAUUUGAUGAUAUGUCAGAGAACCUGGAAUUGGUGGAAUACAAUGUGCAGAACAAGCAGAAAUGUGAUUUAUGACAUACAUGUUUGACAAUUAUAUUAAUCUGUCAGCCUAAUUUAUGUAUAAUCUCAUCAAGAAAACCCUCUCCAGGACCUCAAUGGAUAUUUAAUAUGUACAAAACAAACUCCAGGUUCAGAAUGAUGACUGUUCACAAUAGCAAACCUUUGCAUAUAUGUCCCACGUUGCUCUUGGAAUAUUUAUCUUAAUAACACAAUAACCAAGCUGGUUGUCGGAAAGUCAUCCUUAAAAAGUGAUACAGAUGCUACAGGCAAAAAAAUAUUAAAACCAACAUGGUAAAUGGCCAUCGAAAUAUUAAAACUUGACAGUUUCAACAGAAAAAAUAGCCAAAAUUGCUAGCAGUUGAUCUAAAAAAUUGCAGAUGUGUUCUUAUUAAAGAAGAUAUAAAAAGAAAGAAAUGAAGAUGAGAAUAUAAAGAAGAGAAAGAGAGAGAGAGAUAGAGAGAGAGAGAGAGAGAGAGAGAGAGAGAGACUUGUGUUGAAUCCUUAUGAGUGAAUCACUUCCAUUUUUGCCUUAGCAAAGAAUAAGAAGAAGCAACUAGCAAGAAAUUGCUAUCCAAACUGCCAACAUGAAUGGUAGUUUUCCACCCAGUACGGGUAUCUUAUCCCAUUGCCAAUUUCUAAGAUCCACUUUCUUGAAUUAAUAAAAUAUACAACAUGAUGCUGACCAUUACUUUUGGCAAAUUUUUUUCAUAUAUUCAUUGGAAAUGUUGGUUUUUUUCAUAACCAGCUAACCAUUCAUAAUCGGCUAACUCAUCUUGUAUCAGAUCAGUGAUUAUUCGUUUGAGGUUUAAUUUUUGAUGUUUCUUUCCUUCACUAGUACAAUUGGAUUUAUAAAACUAGUGAAGUUUAGUUUGCCAUGAUUGCGGUUGGAGAUUGGAAGUUCAGUGCAGAUCUCUUUUUCCAUAACAUUAGCUUGCUGGAGAAAGAUAUCCGGUAGGCAUUCCUUUAUACUCAUUAUUGCUUAUAUGUUUAGCCUGUAUUAUAAUUAAAAUGUAACAAAGUUGAUGCUCUUGAGUAUCAUGCUGAAAUGUACAUUGUCAUUUUAGACAUGCAACCUGUCAGCCUUUCCUAAUAAAUGAGAUCUUAUUUAUGUUUUAAAUAUUGUCAAAUAUUGAUGUAGCUUCAGUAGUUUUUUGUUGAAAUAUACACUAUGUGUGUGCACUUACUAGUUUAAAGUUGGAGGUGAAAGAAACCCUAACAUAGAUUCCGGCCUAUGACAUAGGUUACAACUCUGAAGAGUUUUAUCACAAACUUAGUGCAAUAAGGUAUUUUCAUUAGAGCAAAUCCCAAAUUUCUACAAAUUAGCCUCGUACAUAGCAAAAUGAUAGUUAAACCUCAUGGAAGACAAAGAAACCAUUUAAAUUUUAGUCAAAUGAUAAGUCACUCUAAGUCUACACUUUUUCUGUAUCCUGACCACUUCUUUAUAUCAUCAAAAUGCAGUGACUAACAAAGAAUAACUAGAAUAAUCAGACAUGUGAACAAUCUCCCUAAAGGAAAAACAUCGGAUAACUUAUUAUUGUUUCAAUUUAGAGUUGUAUUCUAACAUUCCUAGCAAGUCAGUCUCCAGCAUCAAACAAUUCAGACAGCACUAUGGUUUUCUCAUUUACCACUAAAGUUUUACAUUCUGUGAUACACUCUAUCAUAGAGCAUUUGAGUAGUUAUCAACAAAUGAGGGCAAUAAUGUGACAACUAUACCUGUCUGGGCAGCUCCCGGCGAAUGACAGCCAAAUGAGUAUUCCCUUCACAUAGAUUUCCAAGCUUAUCCAGGAACUGGAUGUCAAGCUGAGUAAUAUCACCCUCCACGACCUCACACACCACCUCCUUUGUGUUCAGAUUCCCAAAAUUGACAACCUGGGCGCAAGCAUACCCCUCAUCCUGGUACCACUUCUGCACCCGGUCCCGAAUCCUCUGCAGCAACCUAGCACUCACUUUCCCCCUCUCGCGGAGCAUCUGCAUCACCUCCCGCCGGACUGUCACAGGCAACAAGCAUGACCUUGAGCGCUCGAUCCUCCUCCUGUAUUCCCUCUCCUGGCUUCGGAAGUACUCUAACUUCUCCCUCUCCGUCAUGUCCGGGUCCAUCUCCAUCUGCUUCGUCUGCGGCAUCAGUCCGACGUUGAUGCAACGAAAUGCGUCCGCAGACUGCCACGUGCUCUCGGCGAACGACACUGUGAGGGCCAAGGUGCCAUCGGGCUUGGUCUUGCCUUGGAGGUCGACCUUCUCAAACAUGCCGGAAGCGGCCAGGUUUUCCAACUCUGACUGGAGCUGGGCCUUGGUGUAGACGCCACCGUUGCGCAGCGACACCAUCUCGAAGAAGGAGUCCUCCGUGCCGGCGACGGUGGUCGAGCGCCGGCGGUCAAAGAGCAGGAUGUCGGAGAUCUUAUACCGCUUGAGGCCGCUCAGCUUGUUGAGCUGGACGACGAUGUUAGCCGGUAAGCCAUGGGGGUCCCACUCCCGGCCGGGGCCGCCCUCCUCCUUCGCAAGCGCCACCAACGGGGAGAACAGGUUAGACCAGAAACCACCCCCAUCGCCGCCGCCUCCCCGGUACCAACCUCCGCCACCGCCGCCGUCAAUGGGGGGAGGGGAGGACGAAGCAAGCAAGAUGAACCCGCCACCAGCCGCGGCGGCAAAGGAGACCGCGGAGGCGGAGAAGGCUGAAAGGGAUUUCUUGCAGGCACCAAAAAUGGAAGGUUUAGGGGCCAUGGAUCUGUCGGAGGAGGGAUGCUUGCCCCUCCGUGGUGCAGCAGAGGAGUGGAUCUGGGGCCGGAGGAGCUGCUUGGGGGCGGUGAAGGCCAUGGCAGCUUGGAGAUUGGGAAGGGAAUGGAAGGGGGGAGAGAGGCGGCGGUGAGGGUUAGGAAAGCACAAAUGGCUUCUCCAAGAAAGGCACCACGAGUUAGGGGGUGCGGGUGACGAGCCUCGAUGAUAAAAGUAAAGGGUUUCGCCAGGGUUUAUGUGAUACCGGGCUCACUGCUCAUCGCCUGGGUUGGACUCACUCACUCAUUAGGGCCAUUUCUAAUAUUAUUUUGGAUAAAUUUUUUUAUUAAAAAAAAACUCAAGAUUUUAUUUUUUUUAUUCUUUUUUCAAAAAAUUAUCUCUACCUUUCAUCACAUCGAUCAUAUGAUCAUCUUUGCUAUCCGUUAUCUUCACCCCGUUGCUCUCAUCUACUUUUCUAUGGAUCUCGCAACGAAUAGAAGAUAAUCAUAUGUUGAAUUAUAAUAUUUCUGUUAUAUUAAUAAAAAAAAUAUUAUAAUUUAAUUAAAAUUAGUUGCAGUAUUUUUCAAUUGAGUUUUUAUUAUAUCGAUUAAAAAAAUUAUAACUCAAUUAAAACAUAUUGUAAUCAGACAUAUUAUUCAAUUAAAAUAUCUACCUACCAAUUUCUUGGCAGUCGAAGGAGUUUUGACCGAUUCUUGUUUAGUAUCCUUCGUCGUCGUCCCAAUCGACGUCCCUCUCUCCGAACCCUCCUCUUCAUACUUGAGCGACCCAAACGUUGCUCUUGGCUGUCGUGCUCCGACCGUCGAGGCCAGGGACUUUGAGCCUCGUCCUUCUACUCGAUAAGGAACAACCCCUUGCAUCUUAUCUCGAGCGUGUUGGGGUUGCUCCACAACGGGAGAUCUUGUGUGUGUCGGAGCAACCUCGAUCAAGACCCGAGCAUCAGUUUAUUGUCCUCCUCGGUCGUCGUUGGCGUCAAGGAUGCCCAACAUCACCACUGCGGAUGGCGACGAUGGCUCGACGGGGGCGGAGGUGAGCGCAAUCUACCACCGUCAUGAGGUGGCGCAGUUGAAGUUCCAAACAGGAGAAGCCACAAGUGCAAGACCGCAACUAUUUGCAUCGGACGAAGAUCUCGGCGGUGGCGCUUUGGAAGAUGGUGAUGCGCGACCACUUUGCCUUGCCCGUUGAGCGUACCAAGAGACACAACAAUGUUCAUGCUAAUGCACACGAGUACAUGGUAAGUAUCUCAGACCAACAAGCAUGUGAGACACCAAAAAUAGUCUGUUUUUUUUAUUAUUAUUUUGAGACUUUCUUUCUCAGUUUAUAGUAUAUUUGUAUUAGUUUACAUGAUUUUUUAGAGGUGUAAAAAGUAUUAUAAUCCUAUUCAAAAACAAUGUAGAAGUCAAGUUUUUUACAUGUUCUUAUUCAUGAUCGAUAAAAAUACUUAUUUGAAACCAAUCAAAGUUGAUAAACCUUCUUUGGCUAUAAUAUUUUUGUAUAGACUUGUAAGAUUUUUAUGAAUGCAUAAAAAAAACACUAUAAUCCUAUUAAAAAUUAUUAUAAUGGAUAUAAAAGUCUAUAUAUAUAUAUAUAUAUAUAUAUAUAUAUAUAUAUAUAUAUAUAUAUAUAUAUAUAUAUUCUUAUUCAUGAACUAAUAAAAAUACCUAUUUAUAAUCCAACUAAGGUGGAUAAGUUAGUUUGUAUGGGAUUUUGAGUCUUUCAUGUAUUUUUAUGAAUAUGUCAAAAAUAUUAUAAUCGUGUUAAAAAAUGCUGUAUAAAAGUCAAGUUUAUUACAUGUNNNNNNNNNNNNNNNNNNNNUUCUUUGGCUAUAAUAUUUUUGUAUAGACUUGUAAGAUUUUUAUGAAUGCAUAAAAAAAACACUAUAAUCCUAUUAAAAAUUAUUAUAAUGGAUAUAAAAGUCUAUAUAUAUAUAUAUAUAUAUAUAUAUAUAUAUAUAUAUAUAUAUAUAUAUAUAUAUAUAUUCUUAUUCAUGAACUAAUAAAAAUACCUAAUUAUAAUCCAACUAAGGUGGAUAAGUUAGUUUGUAUGGGAUUUUGAGUCUUUCAUGUAUUUUUAUGAAUAUGUCAAAAAUAUUAUAAUCGUGUUAAAAAAUGCUGUAUAAAAGUCAAGUUUAUUACAUGUUCUUAUUCUGAAAUGAAUAAAAGUACCUAUUUGAAACUCCACAAAGGAUGAUAAAUUAAUUUUUUAAAAUGUCUAAAACAUUUGACAUUACUUCCAUAUCAAAGUGCAUCCUCACUGAUGAAGCAAACACAUAUGCUUCUUUUUAUUUAUUUAUUUAUUUUUAAUAUAUUAACGAUUUCAAGCAUUCGUGUUAAACUAUGGAGCGAUCAAGUUAAGGGCUCAUAACCGAGGUGUACGGCUCAGGAAAGAGUUUGUUCGACUGAGAUACAAACAUCGGUGCAUAGACUCAUGAGAAAUUGUUCGCGAUGGAGAUACCCGUACGAUUUUAUCCUUGUUGGAGCAUGUGAACUCAAAAAAUACUUUUGAGAUUAAGAGAGAUCUAACGAACUUUAUGAACCCUUAGUUCCCAUACUCCUCAACCAAAACUAAAUGAUCUUAUCAAUUGGAUAAGUUGGGUAUAUAAGUUAUUAGAAAGCAAGAGCUAUAGAUGUUCAUGUCGAAACGUAAAUUAGCCAAUGGAGUCUACAAACAUGAACUGCAAGUUAUCAUAUAUAACCGCACUGUUUGGCGAAAAGAAUCAUUAGUUAACUAAGAUUUCAUCCUUCGGUUUCCAUAUUUCAUGGUCAUCGUGUGAAACAAUCAUUAGUUAACUACCAUGGUACUAAUCACCAAUGAUAUUUGUGAUAGAGUUCGGUGCAUGUGGGUGGUGUUUGAUGGUAUAGCUAAUUUUACUUUGCCAAAGUAUAUACACAUCCAUCGAGUUUGCUCUUUCUCUUAGAGAUCGACUUGUUUUUCUCACAUUAACAGGUGUUUGCUGCACAUCAGAUGUUCUAAAAGCUAUACCCAUUCAUUCUAAAGACAGCUUAUGGAGAUACCAUGCCAAAGGUUUUGCAUGUAGGUCAGACAACUUGUGUGCAAGUGGUUUCUAAACUGUUGAAAGAAGAAAGGCACUGAAGCAUGGGGUGUGGAACCAUAUGAUUUCGAAGAUGCUGUAAAAGCUUUGUGCGUGUAGCUUACUGAUAUCUUCCCACUACCAUACAGGCCAAAAUCAUUCUCCUCGUUUAGAAGAUGCUGCAAAAAGCUUUGUGCGUCUAGUUGACUGAUAUCAGAAGAAUGCUGCAAAAAGCUUUGUGCGUUAGUUGACUGAUAUAAGAAGAAUUCACUUAAAGUAAGAUUCUUUAGGAUUGGCAGAACUCUCUAAUGAUUUAUCUUAGACUCUUUACGCUCAUCUAUAAAUAAACAUUAUUUUUAGAGAUUGAUAAUAAGAAAAAAAUAAAGAAAGGGAUUACAGUCUUUCUCCCGACUUUUUUUCCUAAUGAUCUAGUUUUUUUUUUAAAUUCAUAGCGAUUUUGGAUUAAAGACGAUAACUUUACAAAAUUAAACAGAGAUAUCUUUUCAGAUGACAUCAAAAGACACGUAUUGUUAAUUCAGAUCUAAUUAUUUGAUUUUAAUUCUAGCAUAAAAGAUUGUUUUCGUAUUUAAUACAACAUAUUACAGAUUUUAGAUAUCAGAGUUCUUAAGAUCAAAUACAUUAAAUCUAUUUUAUUUACGAUAAUACAUAUUUUUCACCAAGCAUCGACAGAAUCUAUAUUUAUUUGGCCCGGAAUCUAUCGUUUAUAAAUAUACCUUUGAAUUGAACCAUAACCGAAGAAGACGAGCUCGCCAGGGAAGGCAGAAAAAAAAAAAGGGAAACUCUUUCACGAUCAUUGAAGUAUGGCGAGCGUCAACCUCGACCUUGAAGAAGGAGAAGGGAGCAGCGAGCGGAAUGGUUUGAUAGAAAGAAUCAAGCAUGUAACACCUUCCUUCCUUCCUUCUUUCAUUCUUUACCCUGCUUCCUGAUUCAGCACAUUCCUCUCCCUCAUCUACUGCGUUAUCUGAUGAUGACAGAUUACACGGAUCAUUCUCGAUCGCACCAAUCCAUGUGUUCCGGCUUCUCUCACUGCCACGAAGGACUCUGUCAUUUCCAAACUGAAGUGGUGCAAGCAAAACAAGUUACAGGCGUCCUUUUACGUUGGGAUCAUCCUUUACCCGGGUGGUUUAUUUGCUGCACAAGGUAGCUACCACCUUCGGAUGGUCAACUACGUCGCUCCAUGUCUCGCUGCUCUGCCCGCUGUAACUCGAUUCCACGAACACUUUAGAAAUCUCGAGCAGAUCAGGGACAUCGGCGACAAUUUACAGACUGGAACAGUUGAUCAGAGAGUUAUCAGCUUCACUUGAUGGAGUGGCGAGUGUCGGAAGAACAAAUCAAGAAGUUGAAGAAGUCGAUCCAAACGGAGUCGGAAGAUGCGAAAUGUGCAAAACAAACCAACAGUUGGUGUGAUGUACAUCACUCCACAAUUUCAAGUCAUCGGAUUUAUGAUGUUGUAUAUCAACAGUUAGAACAGUUAGUGUCUUGCUAUAUUUUACCAAGUAAAACAUUAACUUAAAAUAAGGUUUUGAUUUAAGAGUUGUAGUUAAGAUAGGAGUUCCUGUCAUCUUGGAUUGAUCCCUCUAUGAAUAGAAGGCUUGUAUAGUGCUCUCUAUUUGAUAAGUUAUCAUAUUUAAUAAGAAUUUUAGUUUUAAAGUUUCCUCUUUUUUUUUUCUCCUCUUAUUUAUGAUUUCUUUAUAGCCACCACCACUUUGCAAGUUAUUUUUAAACAAACAAGAGGAUUGAUUAUUUUAGUUUUGUAAGCAUUAUUACCUAAGAAUAAAUCAUAGAGACUAUCAACUACUUUGACUGAUAAAAUUAAGAUUUUGAUCAUAUUUCUAUAAAAUAAAGGGAAUGUUACAAAGUAGAGUGGUUAGACGUGUUUAAGACAGGUGUGAGUUUUAGACAAAACGCGUCCAAGCAAUCUACUUUGUAACAUCCCUUAGUUGCUCUUUGAUUGGAAUCAAAUGGAGCCAUACGCUUACUUAGAUUGCAAGCAAUACACAAACGAGCAGCUCUUAUGUGAACGGAAUGCGGGCCUAAUUGUUCUUUAAUUUUCUGUUCCUUAGUAAUAGUGUUAAAUUUAUGCUAAAGAUGAGAUAUUUUCUUAUCGUUGAUAAAAACAAAUUAUCAACAACGGAUCCCUUCUCCCGCUCUUGAGGUCGAGCCAGAGCCCGCUACAACGGGUCCCUUCUCUCGCUCACACGGUCGAGCCCAAACCCGCUAUGACGAAUCCUUUCCGCCCGCUGACACAGUUAAGCUAGAACCCGAUACGAUAAGUCCUUUCUCUCGCUUAUGCGGUCGAGCUCAAACUAGUUUCAAUGGGUCCUUUCCUUCCACUGAUGUGGUCAGCCAUAACCUGCUACGACGGGUCCCUCCUCCCACUCAUGCGGUCGAGCCAAAGUUCGCUAUGAUGAGUCCCUCCUCUCGCUCAUGCAGUCGAACCAAGGCCUACUACGACGGAUCCCUUCUCCCGCUCAUGUGGUUGAACCAGAGCAUACUAUAAUGGGUCCCUCCUCUCACCCAUGGUGAUCGAAUCAAGCCCCGUUACAACAGAAGCUGCUAAGGUGGAUCCACUCUCCUGCCCAUGGUGGUCAGAUCAAGAUCCACUACGACAGAAGUCACUAAGGUAAAUCCACUCUCUCGCCUAUAGUUGUCGGAUCAAAACCCUCUAAGGCGAAGCCACUCUAUCACCCAUGAUGGUCGAAACAAGACUAGUUAUGACGAAAGCCGCUAAGGCGAAUCCACUCUCCUACCUAUGACGAUCGAAUCGAGACCCACUAUGAUGGAAGCCGCUAAGGCAGAGCCACUCUCCCGCCCAUGGCGAUCAAAUUAAGACCCUCUCACCCAUAGCGGUUGAAUCAAGACUCACUAUAGUGGACUUAUACCGAUACUCCCACUACCAUGGUCAAAUCAAGACCUGCUAUAGCGGAUUGAUACUGAUACUCUUGUUACGACGGAUUGAUAUUGAUACUCCUACUAUGACAGAUUGAUACCGAUACUCCCACUAUAGCAGUCAAAUUAAGAUCUACUACGACGAAGCCACCACGAUGGACUAAAUCAAUCUUCUUGCUCACACGGUUGAGCCAACACCUACUACUAUGGACUUACACUCCCACCUAGGCGGUCGAAUACCUACCUCUAGAGGUGGAAGAAGGGGCAGGACCAAAAGAAGACUCAAUCUCCUGUGUGAAAGGAAGAGGCAAAAAUGGAGAAGGAAGCCCUCUUGAAGCAAAAGGGGGGGUAAAAAAAGAGAGUGAAUGAAUUCAACGAGCAAAAGGGGGAUAAUUAAGAUAGAGAGGGAGUAAAAAAGAAAGGGGUCUCUUAGGUUAACACAUAUCUGAACAAAGAAUUGCCCUAGCAAGAAAGCACAACCCACCCUAAGGGGCUUCACACCAACCUCCAUGAUACCAAUGAUGAACCCAAAGAUAAAUAACGUGAUCACGUCAUCGUGCAGGAAUGCAUGAAAAAUGAUAUCAUUCGAGACCACCAUUCGAAUCUUCGAAAAACACCUUUAUUGGGGGACGAGUGAUAGGGAUAAAUCCUGGACCCCCCCCCCCCGCCAGCUUCUCUCGCCACAUAAGUAACACAUAAACAAAACCUUGGUAACACCUAUUCCUUAUGACUACCUCUUCUACCUUGACUUCCCAAAGUGGGCCCACAUGAACCACUUCUCAUCGAUCCUGCAGUUGAGAAAAUAAACCUGACUCUACAUUGAUGGCGAACGACAUGGCUUGGCUUUACCAUCUUUCCCUUCCGAAUGAAUGACGAGGGGACCACACCUUGCCUAACUUAAAGAAGCAAGGAAGCCCGAUUGAAGGCAUCAUUUUGAUAUUCCCCAAACGUUGCCUCUAAGAGUACACGUUGGUUAGCGACCUGCAUUAAAUGUUUUUGUCAUGUCCGGUAAGAGGGAUCUUGAUGGAAGCCCGUCCACUUUACCCAUCGCCUAGGUAUAAAAGUCAUGCCCUGAGCCAAGCUAGGGCAAGCAAAUAAAAGAGACUCUUUACUCUCUUAACUCAUUGCUAAUAAUAUUGUUGUCUUUCUCCCCCUCUGCUUUCCUGACUUAAGCAUCGAAAAUAUCGAGCCAAGACACCCUCGAUGCAGGCUUGUUGUACAAGUUCAUCAACGUAACUUGGAGGUACAACCAAAAUGCUACCCAACAUAGGAGAUCCCCUAGCUCCCAAACCAAGCUUCAUCGCUCAAAGAUUGAGGUGCACCUAGCGAACCGUGUCUUUCUACAGCUUCCUUCAUCUUACCCGCAACAUCUACUUUCCACGUUAGCUAGGAAGAGGCAUCAUAAGAGACCUACACUUUUGACAUAAAAUCAAUCGAGCUAACUCAUUUGUGUUAACAAUCUAUGAAUGUAUUAUUUCUAGAGAAAGACAAUGUAAUGUAUCAUUAGUCAAUGUGAUACAAUGCUAGGUUUUCAAUCGUGUCAGUGAUAUUUUUUUUUAAGAUUGUAAUACAAUUUGAGUCUAUGAGACAUUGUGUUGUAGUAAUUGCUUAUCAAUUGCGUUUUGAUCGAAUAUUUCAUUUUAUAAGAUGUUACUGUGUUUUUGCCCCCACUGUAUUGUGUUAUAAGUUAUGAUUUUAUAGGGCUGCAUUAGUUAUGUUUUGAUUAUAUUUCUCAAUCAAUUGUGACUAGAUUCGAUUAUAUUAUUUUUACAAUAAGUUGAAAGUACUUUCAACGAAAAAAUAUUAUAACUUAAUUAGAAAAUACCGAGUUAUCUCAUAGUCAUUUUAAAUAUUCUUCUUCAACAGCAAAUCAAAGCUACUGCACUAUGGUUGAUGCCAAUGAAUUAUAUGCAUAAAAAAAACUGAAUGGUGGAUAUAUUAACCAAGUUACAGUAUUUUUAUCAAGAAAAAUAUUAUAACUAGCUUUUUUAAUGCUAAUUUUGAAUUUUUUUUUUCUUCAAUAGUCUAUUUGUAAAUCAAAGCUGUGCCAAUCAAUCUGCCAAUGAAUUACAUGAUUAAAAAAAUUGACAAGUAAAAAAUUUAAUUAAAAAAUAAUUCUCUUAUAAUAUUUUUAUUAAUAUUAUAAAACAUUAUAACUUAAUGGAAAAAAAAACUCUAAUUGGUCUAUAGCACUGAGUGAGUUACUAUGUUUUCAUUAAUAUCACAAAAACAUUCAAAUUCAAUAAGAAAAAUAAUAUUAUUUUUGGGCCAAAUUUUUGGAUAAUGGCAGAGAUUUUGGGUUCAAUUUGAUCUAUUACUGGAUAUUAUUUGUAGUUAUCACAACCAAAGCGAAAGCCUUAAAAAAAAUUAAUUUUUUAUUUUUUUUAAAUAAACUAAAUCCUCGUUUAUCGGGGCAGCAAAAGCAACGCGGCGACCAAGCGACCCGAGAGAGGGAGAGCAAUACCCGCCGGUGAGAGAUGGGAGACGCGGCGGGCAGCAGCAGCGGCCAUGCGACCGCGAGAUGGUCUCUCGGAGGAAUGACAGCCCUCGUCACGGGCGGAACCAGAGGAAUCGGGUCCGUUUCCUUCUCCAUCCCUUCUUCCCAUCCUCCUCCUAUAUCUUCCUUUUUCCUUCCCCCUUCUUAACCCUUGGUCUUCUCGCAUUCCAAUUCUCAAAAGGCACGCGGUGGUGGAGGAAUUGGCGGGGCUGGGCGCGUCGGUGCACACCUGCUCCCGCAAAGAGGCCGACCUCACCGAGUGCUUGAGGAAAUGGGCGGCCAAAGGGUUUCGCGUCACCGGCUCCGUCUGCGACCUCUCCUCUAGGGAGCAAAGAGAUCAGUUGAUCCGGGAAGUUUCUGCGACCUUCAACGGGAAGCUCAACAUACUUGUACGUCCCGGCUUUGUCUCACCGUUGCACCUAAGGAAUCUACAACUAAACCGUGUUACCUAAUUUUCUACAGGUAAACAAUGUUGGGACAAAUAUAAGGAAGCCGACUGUUGAAUAUAGCGCCGAAGAGUACUCAUUCCUCAUGGCCACAAAUCUGGAAUCUGCUUACCAUUUGUGCCAACUUGCUCAUCCUCUUCUUAAAGCAUCGGGAAUGGGAAGCAUCGUGUUCAUUUCUUCUGUUGCUGGGGUGGUAGCUCUAAGUAGUGGUUCCAUUUAUGCAGCAGCCAAAGGUAUUGGUUAGUGAUGGCUGGUAUUCAUAUGCAUUGAUUCCUUUUAGUAGAAGCGCAGCAAAUUGUCAUGGUUUUCAUAUAUAAAACACUCGUUAACAAAGUGCUCCUUUCAGCUGCAAUGAACCAAAUGACGAAGAACUUGGCAUGUGAGUGGGCCAAAGACAAUAUUAGAACCAACAGUGUUUCACCAUGGUACAUCAAGACUAAACUAGUGGAGCAUGUAUGUUCCUCAUUGCCUAUUCAUUUGAAAUUAUGAUACUUAUUAAGUCGUGCGCUUCUGGAAAUUUUGCAUUUUUAUUGUAUAAUUAAUAGAUGCAUUGCAUGGUGACAACACGCUUACACAGGGAAUAUUGACAAUGUAUAAUUUACUUUAACUUGAGUGCUUUUGAGUGAUUUCACAUCGCCUAAAGUGCAUUAAACUCCUCUCAUGGGAAAAUAUUCACUAAGAUUUAUAUGGCUAUUUGCAACUAGCUACUGGAGAGACAUUUUGCAGUUUUUAGCCGGGAGCACUUUGUCAAAGCUUAAUGACAGGAAAAAAUUCAUGUAACUAACUCCAAAUAGUUGCAGCAUUACAGCCUGUUGUUGUUGUAAGUUGUAACUGGGAGCACUGCUUAACAUGGAAUUUGACUUGUAGGAUAAGCCACAUAGGUGAAAUUUAAGAGUUUGCUAAGAGGAUGGAAACAAGUGCUCCUAUAUUGUCAAAUUUUAGAGUAUAGUUUGUCGCAUAGGUUCACUAGAGAGUUAUGAGUUUCUAAAAUGUUGAGGAAAAUUGUGUCCAUUGGCCAAGGAAAUGAAUGAAACAAAAUACAAAAGGAACUGUCAUAGACUACCAAUAAUAUCAGAACAGAGAGAAGAAAAUUAGAACAAAAGACACGAGUCAAGGUUUGAAAAUUAGAACACAAGUAACAGGAUCGACGAUCCAUUUCUUUGCAAAAGAAUGAUUUGAAUCUGUCAUAAAUUCAUAGAUUGGUCAUACAGUUACUUCAAAGGAAUCACAUUUUCUGUUGCUUACAACUCGAUGAAUGCUCAUCUUUAUGGUUAUUUAAGGGCGUUGCUUCUGAUACUUCCAUCUAAAUCAUUUUUGGCCUUCCCUUAUAUAGAUAGCUAUUAACUUCUAGAACAUCCUAUUUACUCAACCCCUUUGCUUUUCUCUCUCUUUUUUUUUCAUUUUUAAUUUGACUUCCUAUGCUCGAGUAAUAUUUUUCCAAGAAUGGGACACAAGCUAAACAGCAAUGCUAUCUUCUUUGGAUAUUUUUGAAGCAUAACUUUGUCGGCAUUUGUUUUGUGAAUUAGUUAGGGAAAUGUUCCUUUUUGGUAUUUUACAUUAUAGUGUUCUAACUAAAAUGAAGCAAACAUAAAUGCUUCUUUUUAACUUUUUUCAAUAGAUUAACGAUUUCAAGCAUUGCUGUUAAAUCAUGGAGCGAUCAAGCCAUGUUGUGGCUACGCUAAGUGAAAGUAGAUUUUGCCAGAAACUCAAUUGCAUCUUUGAUGACAAUUUGAUUGGAUAAGUUGGGUAUAUAAGUUGUUAGAAAGCAGGAGCUAAAAUUUUGGUUGCAAAUCCAUGCAUUUUUUAUUUGAAUUGAGUUAUCAGAAAAGAACUUGCAUGCAUGUUGGAUUUAAUACAGAAUAUACUCAUAUACUUUAGUUACUAAAGUAAUAUGCUUGAUUCUUGUGGUUACUCUUUCUAAUGUUUUUCUUGGUCUGACAAUGGAAACAAAUUAAUCCUGUAAUAGACGGUUUUUUGGUACUCGUUUUAGAAUUGGGUUUCAACUAAUAGGUUAUGCAAAUCUGGCGAUGGAACAUUAAGGGAGAGGAACAAAAUAAACGUUCCUCAUCUGUAUAGCAAAAAAUGUUCAAUUUCUGUUUUCUUUAUUGUAAUGUUUUAUUGGUAUUAUUGGAUUAGAAAAUAAGUACUGCAUCAUAUAUUCAUGAAUUUAUAUCUUCGUGGCCAGUGAAACUCUAUCUCAUGCAACUUGUUUAGGUUUUUUCAAAUAUUACCAUUUGCAAUUCUUUUGUCAUACAGAGAUGUAGUUAUGACAUGUAGUGAAUGUACUUGGAGAUCUAAUGUGCCACUUACAGGACAAGAAAUGGAGGCUUCAAGACCGCAUUUAUGCUGCUUAUUUCAUAACAAUUGUUUUGAUGAAUUCACUAUUGCUGCUUAGUCAGGACAUCACAUUACUGUUGCUGUUGUAUUGCCUAUUAUGCUCGAACCAAGAUAUCUUUCUUCACCUCCCUCCUAGGCUUCAAUAACAUCUCCUUUCUCACAGCUACUCAAUGACAAAGAUUCUCUGCAAAGGAUAAUUGAUCGAACGCCCCUCGGCCGAGUUGGAGAGCCCGAAGAAGUGUCGUCGCUGGUCGGAUAUCUGUGCCUACCCGCUGCUUCUUACAUAACUGGGCAGAUAAUUUCAGUCGAUGGCGGAAUGACUGUAAAUGGCUUUUAUCCAAGUGGGUAAAAAUCAAGGUAGUGUUGGGCUUUGUUUGCUUCUCAGCUUUUCUUUACUUAAAUCUGCAAAUGUCGAACUGCUUCGAUCGUUUGAAGCGAGUAGCUCUAGUAUCAAGAUGAAUUCAUGUCUAAGUGCAAGACAUGGUGCCGGUUUCUAACCUGCAAUCCUUUGAAUAACUCUAGCUGGUUAGACACCUCCAGCAGCACUUGAUGGCGAAGUAAACUCGAGUUAUCUUUGUUCUGCUUCUGUUUUUUCAGUAUAAUUGUUUACAUGCAGCUCGUACUAGCGUGAGACAAUGGAAUGGCAUUAGAAACUGCGUAAUGAUUAAAUUAUUAGAUAUCAUGUAGUCACUACUAAAUAUUUUACGACAUUAUAGCUUGUUGUUGUCCUAACUUAAAUACAGAGUUUAAAUGGAAUAUGGACCAUAUAAACUUAUUGGUGAACUUGGUCGAGGAGUCGGCACGGCUCGAUCCGAUCCCGGAUACGCAAGGUUGCUCACGCGGAGACUCGGGAAGCAGAAGUGCGUGUCGGGUCGGGUUGAGUUAUGAGCCUUGUUGCUUGCUUCUUCAUCGCUAGCUCCUGCACAUAGGUUAAGGUUGGGAGGGGAGUUUUCUGACUCGACCCCUUUUAGGUGAAAUAUAAGUGAGUUUAAUAUGUGAAAAGUCCCAUUAGCAUUGGGCAGGUGGUGGGUUUUUAUACCUGCAAAUGGGGGUCGGUCGUAUCUCGUAUGUUAAUGAUUGCCGACCCCUUAAGUGGUCAGCCCAUGCCUUUUGUGCGAACGUUAAUCGACCUGUACGAAUCGACAUCGAGCGAUCUAUACUCGAUAGUACCGUUCUGAACCGGGGUAGUUUCGUACCCAACGACGUCGCUUGUACGACCUUGUACAGCUUGAGAGGAUGGUUGCAUCGUUUGAGUUCAAGGCAUUGCUCCGACGUGGUCUGUCACAUCGGUUUUGAAGUUCCACGUUGCUGUCAUAGCUGUGGAAUGCUGCGAAAGGGUGUGCUACAAAAUUGUGCCCUAUCAAGUCUUAAUAAGAUUAUAAAAUUAGAUUCAUAUUAACAAUUCAAAUAUAUGACUUCAGUAUUUCUUUACGACAACGACGAUUACAAUUGGUCAUGGAAAUAUACGCUAUUGGUAGAGUAAGAAGGUGGAUUAUAUAUAUUGAUCUUGUAUUGGAUUGGCAAACACAUUUAAAUCAAAUACAAACAUUUAAACAUUUCCGCCAUAAACGUGCACAGAAUGGAUUUUGUGUUUUUGUUUUUUUUAACCGAGUCGAAGAAUGAUAAAUAUUUUGGACGGCUCUUAAUGGACUUGAUCGAUGGUUGGGAUGAGUCAGGGCUCCUCACAUUUAUGCUGCCCAAUCUCGCUCUUGUUAUCGUGUGGAAAGCCAGAAAGCUACGAACAAUCGUCGAGCUCGGCCUUGGCCUUGGCCUUUAGAUCUGGUAAGGAAGACUUCCGAUUCCCCGUUUACAGGUCGCUUUAUCUUCUUUCGAUCCUCCCUAGGGUCUUGGUCGUCACUGCUCUUGGAUCUGGUUUCUUUUGCUCGACGAUCUCGCCCUGCGUUCCACACUUCACAUUGUCGAUUUCGAUUGCUCGCUUGGCACAUUGGAUCCGCAGCGGAUUUGGCUUCUUGCGAUCGCGUUUAGGUUCUUGUCACCUCUGUGCAAGUCCAUAGAUCCUUCCCUUACUUCUGGGGAUGGAAUUGCUCUGCUUUGUGUUAUACUUUAUUUAUUUAGGGAAUUUGCGCCUAUAAAUUUGGGCUUGUUCGAUCUAAAAAUGUGUGUGCUCCGCUCAUGUUCUGCGUACUGUUUGAGGUUGAUCUGACGAUUUCUUUUCCCAUCAUAGUUUUUGAUCAGGCUUGCGGGAUUGGAAGAACUGAAGUAUGGCGUCGAGGCGAGCGAUUAAUCCAUCUCGACGCGUGGCUGAUAGCGGAAGCAUUCCGCUCGUCAGCUCACUACAUCAAAAGUCAAGGAAUUCGCCCCUAGUAUCUGUUGCAUUGGUUAUUCUGGUACAUCUUUUCUCAUUUCAGCGUGUAAUUGCUUUCUUAAGGAAUAUAGGUGCGCCAUCCGCGGAUGGGUGAUGGAGAAUUUAGAAUCUGAUGGGUUCCCUUUCUGAAUUUUUAGGGUGCUUUUCUUCUCAUUGGUUACUCAUUUAGAGGCUCAGGUACGUGUGACUCUCCUAUCAAAUAUUUGAGGGAGAAUCAAGCAUUUGAUCCAUUGUUAAGGAGAACCAAUUGUCUAUAGAUAUUUAAUCUUUGGAGUCCUCUUAUUUACUUUCAUUUGUUGGCUAAACUAUCAUGAUUGAACGAACUACUUUUCCUCCUUCGAUGAACAGGUGGAUUUGCUGGUAACAAGGAAGCUAUAAAUAUUGGUCAAGGUACAUAAUCUUUUUUUUUUGUCAUCUCUGUAGUCUUUCUUGAAUUAAGGUAAAUUUCUUGUCUGAUUACAUGGUUUUCUACGCUUAUUCCUCUCAAGCUGGCCUAAGUUCACUUUUCAUUUAAAAUUUAUAUAUUAUUUGUUGAUUUUGAGAAAAACUCCACGGGUUGUAAAUAUGGUACUUAGUUCCUUCUUUUUUUUUGUUUUAACAUGUGUUUUACCUUUAUGUCAAACUUUUUGAACCACAUACUCUCUACUAAACUUCACAAGGUCAAUCUCAGGGACAUGCAAGAAGAUUGUAAGUCGCAAAUUAAUAUGCUUAGUUACAUGAAGUUAAAACAUUUGUCCCACAAUUAAGUAUUUGAGUGUGUUGUAUAUCACUGAACUAUGGGUUUAUCUCUCAAGCUUUGUUUGAUUGAUUUAGGAUCAGCUAUAUUGCAUGACAAAAAACUGAGAAGAUUAGAUCAUUGAAGUCUAAUCAAACAUUAGUGUCAUCAACACUCUAAAAUUAGAUUAAGAUUUAUCGUUAAAGCAAGUAUAAAACAGCAGGCUUUGUUUCAAAAUCUAAAAUGCUAGCUCAAGCAAACAAGGGAAUUCACCUGGAACUGUAGAGGAUUUAGAAAAUGGCUAUUUCACAUUUUCUUUUAUGGGAUAGAUGUUCAUAUCAAAACAUAAAUAAGCCAAUGGAGCCUAUAAACAUGAACUGUAAGUUAUCAUGCAUAACCACACUGUUUGGUGAAAAAAAUCCUGGUGAACUAAGAUUUCUUCCUCCAAUUUCCAUAUUUCAUGGUCAUUGUGUGGAAGUGGAACAAUCAUUAGUUAACUACCAUGGUACUAAUUACCAAUGAUAUUUGUGAUAGAAUUUGUUGCAUGUUGGUGUUUGAUGCUAUAGCUAAUUUUACUUUGCCAAAGUAUAUGCACAUCCAUAUUGUUUGCUCUUUCUCUUAAAGAUCAACUUGUUUUUCUCACAUCAACAGGUGUUUCCUGCACAUCAGAUGUUCUACAAGCUAUACCUAUUCUAAAGAAAGCUUAUGGAGAUAGCAUGCGAAAGGUUUUGCAUGUAGGUCCUGACUCUUGUGCAGUGGUUUCUAAACUGUUGAAAGAAGAAGAUACUGAAGCAUGGGGUGUGGAACCAUAUGAUUUGGAAGAUGCUGAUAGCAGUUGCAAAAGCCUUGUGCGCAAAACCUUUGUGCGUGUAGCUGAUAUCAAGUUCCCACUACCAUACAGGCCAAAAUCAUUCUCCCUUGUCAUUGUCUCAGAUUCGUUAGAUUAUUUAUCUCCAAAGUACCUUAACAAGACCCUUCCAGACCUCGCAAGGGUUUCAGCAGAUGGUCUUGUUAUAUUCACUGGUAAUUCUUCAUACCAAAGUAAAACCUUUGCAUGGUGUAGCAUAGUUUUUGAAGUUAUUUUGCUGUAGAAAGCACAUAAUAAUGAAUCUUACUGGUUUUUCUUGCACAGAACUGAGAUUUUUGGUUAUAGUAAGAUUUUGUUUUGCGGACUUUGUCAUGUGCUCAGUAAGGGUUAAGUCAGAUCUGUAGUUACAGGGACAUAUGAAUGUAAAGGUCCAAACUUUUAACUUUAUUUUAUUAGAAUUCAUAACUUUUUAGCUCAUCCUUCGUUUACUUCUUAUUUAAGUAAGCUUAAUAAAAUUUUAUGGAUCACUAUCUUAAUAAAAUUGUUUGAUCGCCAUUGUUUCUUGCUAUUUAGAAAUCUAUAGUCUAAAAUGACACUGGUGAUUGAAUUUUUGCCUUUAAAAAUGUUCUAUCCAAUGGGAAUUCAGAUAAAGAUAUAAUAGAUGAUUCAGAAUAUGUAUUUGCUCAUGUAUGGUUUAUCAUUGGCAUGAGCCCUAGUGUGUUCAGUUCUCUUCUGCUUAUGAUUUAUUUUGUGCAGCACUAAUUUAACUAAUUAUAUUGAGAAUAAUGAGCUCUUCUUCAGUUCUUCCACAUGUCAUAGAAGAUUUUCUACAUGACCAAUGGCUUAAAGGACCAAGAAAAAGGAACACACCUUUUUUGCAUUUAACUUGAGCCAUGGAUCUAGCUGAAAAUUGUUGUUAAUGUUCCCAAUAUAUAUAUUCUUGUUCUUAUUCAUGUGGUAAUGUGAAGUUUUGUAUGGCAGCACUCAUUUAAAUAUACUGUUAAGACACUUUUAAGGUGACUUGCACAUACUUAUUAGUAAUCAUUAGAUAGGGAAUAUUUAUAUGAACUUAUGCCAUAAAAUAAGAAAAGACUGGACAGCAAGCAUACUUUGAAGAUACUGGUGCUCAUUCUUUUUUAAUUUAGUAAUUAUAUGUUUCAUUUUGAGUUUGAUAGCAAAUCUUGUUUCUGUGUUUUCAAGUGGAAAAGCUUGCUUAUUCAAGUUUAUGAUUUUUUUUUACUACAAGUUUAUAAAUUUUGUCUAGUAUAUUUUAGCCAUAUAAUGUCAGAAUUCUAUAUAAAUUCUUAUAGAUUCUUAUGGCUUAGGUAAAUGUUAAACUAUUUACAAAGCUGUGUGAUCUCUGAAAGAUCCUUUAGUAUUUAAGUAUCUUCAUAUUUCUCAUUUCAUCAUAUAAAUUUUGUAGGUCAUCCAGGUCAGCAGAGGGCCAAGGUUUCUGAGCUAGCAAAAUUUGGAAGGCCGGUAUGAUCUGCAGUUAAUAUAUAUAUGUUGCCAUUAUCAUUUUGUAGGAAUCUACAAUUACCAUGAUGUGGUUUUCUUGGACUUACUGAUGGUUGUUUAUGCUUUCUAUACUUUAUGCAUGUACUAACUUCACAUUUUAUUUGUUUUUCUUUUCAUUUUACCUUUUCUUUACCAUCAACCAUUUUCCCUUUGAAAUGCAUCAUUAAUUGGAGGUGGUGAAGAGUAAAGUUUUAAAAGGAAUGACACUUGCUGGCCCUUGUUUGGUCAUAGUUGUUUAAAUAUGUAUACAAAUGAUUGUCUCUAUAUCAUGUCUUGACCCACUAUUGGUUUUGUUUGAAGGCCAAUUGUUCUACCAUACAACUUACAGAGAAAGGAUAGAUUCUAAUUUUGUAUAAUCUCUUAUUGUUUAGUAUGUGCAUCUAAGUCUCAGGAGAGUCGACGAUGACCAAUAAUACCAAGCCAUAGUAUUAAAUUCUGUAGACUCUCUGGCUAUUGCAAUUGGGUUUUGUUGAGUAGCCACCAUAGAUUAUAUUUAAAGAGAAACUCCAAUUGGUUUUCUCGAAUCAACACUUUCUCAGCAUCACAGAGACUGUUCCUUUUGCUCCUUAACAUGAUGAUAUAGGAUUGGAUUGGGAAAUACACAUCUCUACUAGUUUUUAGGAUGAGACCUUGGAGGCAACAAUGAAGAACAAUAGAGAACCAACAUAGUUGUAACUGCAUGUGAAGUAUUCUACUGCACAACCUCGAAAAAGAGAAGAUUUUAUGCAUAUUUUGGUCAUAGAGCUUUCCUCGGCCUUUCCAAGAGAGAGCUAGUCAUUGCAAAAUAGCAUAUUUGUGGAAGAAGCUACAACUCAUGUUUCCAUCAUUGAAGAAGCAGAUGCGUAGGGGAUAUGUGCAAAGCUUGAGUGAAAAAUUGAAAGAUACACAUGGUGGGAGGUUGAUCUCAUUUUUGGGAAAGAAAGGUUGGCGGUCGACUGCUCCAUUUUUCUCAUGUGUCAAUACCACUUAAGCAGAUUCUAGAAAACCCCUGAUUUGCCUGCAUUUCCACUAGCAUUUCACCUUUGUAUCUGUAAAAAUAUUUUAUCAAACUUAGGCUCACUCUUUGAUCAACCUUAAAUUUAUUUCCCCUGCAAAUAUUUAUACUGAUUGUCCAUUAGCAUCCCGGUACAUUUAUGACACCUAGAAAAAUCAUAUUAGUUUGCAUCAAGUUCCUGACAAAUAUCUGAUUGUUUCUCUUGGUAGCACCCAUCACAUUUUCAUGUCUUCCAAUCAUAGGUGUUUAUGGUCCAAGGCAACUGUCAGGUGAUGGUUCAACAUUUCUGCUUCUGUCACAUAAAAUAUAUGUUUGUAGUCAUUCUAACAUUAGAUCAAUUUGUUUAAGUGGCUAAAUUUGGUCAUUGUUCCAUUGCAGUUUAAGAUUAUUACAAUUCUGAUACUUCACUUCAUGGGCAGGCCAAAUUAAGAAGUUCAUCUUGGUGGGUACGAUAUUUCGUUCAGACUGGCUUGGAAGAGAACGAAACUGUUAUGAAGAAGUUUGAGGAAGCUUCAAGCAAGAGUUCUUAUAAACCAAGCUGCCAAAUUUUUCACGUCAGCUCAUAGAAAGCAUCAAAUUUUGGGAGGCCUCCUUUACUAGAACCGAAUACUACGUUGUAGAUCUCAUUUGUGACAGACCGUUGCUGGCUAUUAAAAUUGGUUAUGUUAAUUGACACUACUUCCUCAAAUUGUAGAUCUUCUAUUUUUGUUAUAAUUAAAAUGAUGGAAUGCUAUAAUUGACUUAUUCCUGAUGUGUACAAUUUACAUGAAAUCUCUUAUGUUAAGUGUCAUUGUGUCGGUUGACGAUGCACAAA